RNAcentral lists this ribosomal RNA (449 nucleotides) under uncultured bacterium. RNAcentral describes it as "partial 16S ribosomal RNA". It matches the Rfam family "Bacterial small subunit ribosomal RNA", at positions 29 to 523 of the family's 1533-position model. The record is from RNAcentral.
AACGAACGCUGGCGGCAUGCCUAACACAUGCAAGUCGAACGAGAUCUUCGGGUCUAGUGGCGCACGGGUGCGUAACGCGUGGGAAACUGCCCUUUGGUUCGGAAUAACAGUUGGAAACGACUGCUAAUACCGGAUGAUGACGAAAGUCCAAAGAUUUAUCGCCAGAGGAUGAGCCCGCGUAGGAUUAGCUAGUUGGUGUGGUAAAGGCGCACCAGGGCGACGAUCCUUAGCUGGUCUGAGAGGAUGAUCAGCCACACUGGGACUGAGACACGGCCCAGACUCCUACGGGAGGCAGCAGUGGGGAAUAUUGGACAAUGGGCGAAAGCCUGAUCCAGCAAUGCCGCGUGAGUGAUGAAGGCCUUAGGGUUGUAAAGCUCUUUUACCCGGGAUGAUAAUGACAGUACCGGGAGAAUAAGCUCCGGCUAACUCCGUGCCAGCCGCCGCAGUAA